AACCCAAUAAUCAAGUAAUAAGUGUUGGACUCUCGAUAAACUUGAUAAACUUAAAUUAUUAAUUUAACUCUUUUUAACUUUUGCACUCUAUAGUAGAUAAUGGAAAGAAUGGUUUUUUAACAAUGAUCUACGAUACAAAACCGACAUUUCGCGACAUUUUCUAAACGACACUCGUCACGCGAAGAAAUGCAUUUCAUUCCGACGAUAUGAAACAGGGACUGGAUAAAAGAAUGACAAUUUUCUUGCCCGUUGAAAAGGUCAGUUUCAGCCUGGGGAGUUCGCAGAUGAAACUUAGGUGUAUUGACAUUUCAAUCUUCCGUUUAGAUACACGAAUAAAAUAAUAACGCUGAAGAAUACACGAGGGUCAUUCAGUUACUAAAAAGGCAAACAGUUGUACUUCAAAAACUUUGCGACACUUUCUGAAGCACGAGAUGGUCUUUUUAUCAUAGAUUAAAACUACAAAUUUCAGCACUAUUAGUGUUUAAAUAGUCUCUAUUAAAUGAUGAAAUAUAAAGAAUCAAUGAAUGAUAAUGUCUGAAAAACAUUGAGUGAUUCUCCGAUGACAUCACUAUAUUGAAAUAGCAACUCGUAAUCGAGUAACGACCUUACGUUGCUGUUGAUCCUAUUGAAAGCGAAUGAAUCGUGUGAAACUGGAAAGAGAGUAUCAGUUUCAAGGUAAAGGAAAAAUUAACUCCUUUCUCCCGUUCCAACACCGACACAAGAUCGGAAUAAAAAUUUAUCUAAUGAUGACACGUCAAGUUUGAGUGUCUAUCUGUUGACCAUUCUAUUACCACGCGUAGUUUAAUAUUCUUAUUAAUUAUCGGAGUGUUAUCAACGGUGGCACAUAUGCUACAUCGGUCCACGAUGCGUCAUAAUAAAUGUAUCGUAAAUAACGUUUCUACGUCGUUUUCGACAAAUACCAGCUUAUUUUCUCGAAUUAGAAAAAUAUCUCGUUGAUGACACCCGACAGAGUUUCACCGUUGGUGGUGAUUCGGAAAAGGAACAAAUUUUUGUUGUGAACAAGUAUCAUGCAGCGGUCUAAGAAUACGGAUGACGUAAGCAAUGCGUUUCCCACGUUGUUAAAAGGAAAAACGAGCAUUUGUAAAAGUGACUCGCGGUUCGACCAGCAUAUGUAUAUAUAAAUUUGAGGAAAUGUCGCAAAAUUCCAACGUCGAGACGGUGUCGUUCCUAUUUGUAAGGCGUCGUCUAUAAUUAGAGAGAUAGGGCAUCGUUUUCGUUCGAAAAUUGUCCGAAUUUUGUCCAGCGACUGAAUUGCUUUAUAACCACGAGUAAUUCUUUUAUUGUGCACGGUAGUUUCAAGAAUUCGUACUGAUCUUGUGACCGCAAUCGGCGUGAAAAAAAAGAACAGGGAAGAAAUGACUAUGUCGGUGUUUAGUGUAACGCUGUUAUCGCUCGUAUUAUCAUCUUGCACAAGCUGGACAAUGUAAUUAACCGUCCACAGUUUCUAUAAUUAACGAUGCUUCGUGAAAAAAGAAUACAGGACGCAUUUCAACAAACCACGUCACUGAAAGAGAACGGUACUUCGAGCGCAACAGAAGACAGAAAUAAUGAAAUAAUUCAUGAAUUGUUCUGGAACUCGAGAAACGAACACUUGAAUACCGCUGGCAACUAGUCAAACUUUUGGGUGGUGUUCACUAGGAAGAGAAAAUAGUAAACAGUGUGCAGUCUGCGAAUAGAAGAGCGGUUUUUAUAGUAUCAGAAUGUGAGCCGACACGAAAUGAAACAAACUUCGAACGGGAAUUAUGUUAAGAGUACUAAUUACAUCCACGUAUCAAUAUAAAUUUAGUAAAGUGGAUAGCUUACUGUGGUCACUUUACGCGUGAAAAGUUAAGACUUUAUAAUAAAUUCAAUAAUAAUA
This 1879-nucleotide long non-coding RNA is filed under the name Megachile rotundata (alfalfa leafcutting bee). RNAcentral describes it as "uncharacterized LOC105662714". The record is from RNAcentral. Lineage: Eukaryota; Metazoa; Arthropoda; Insecta; Hymenoptera; Megachilidae.